Molecule: ribosomal RNA, 918 nt
Filed under: uncultured Prevotella sp.
Lineage: Bacteria; Pseudomonadati; Bacteroidota; Bacteroidia; Bacteroidales; Prevotellaceae
Description: bacterial SSU rRNA
Rfam family: Bacterial small subunit ribosomal RNA
Source: RNAcentral
GGAACUGAGACACGGUCCAAACUCCUACGGGAGGCAGCAGUGAGGAAUAUUGGUCAAUGGGCGAGAGCCUGAACCAGCCAAAUAGCGUGCAGGAUGACGGCCCUAUGGGUUGUACACUGCUUUUAUAAGGGAAUAAAGUGAGUCUCGUGAGACUUUUUGCAUGUACCUUAUGAAUAAGGACCGGCUAAUUCCGUGCCAGCAGCCGCGGUAAUACGGAAGGUCCGGGCGUUAUCCGGAUUUAUUGGGUUUAAAGGGAGCGUAGGCCGGAGAUUAAGCGUGUUGUGAAAUGUAGACGCUCAACGUCUGCACUGCAGCGCGAACUGGUUUCCUUGAGUACGCACAAAGUGGGCGGAAUUCGUGGUGUAGCGGUGAAAUGCUUAGAUAUCACGAAGAACUCCGAUUGCGAAGGCAGCUCACUGGAGCGCAACUGACGCCGAAGCUCGAAAGUGCGGGUAUCGAACAGGAUUAGAUACCCUGGUAGUCCGCACGGUAAACGAUGGAUGCCCGCUGUUGGUCUGAAUAGGUCAGCGGCCAAGCGAAAGCAUUAAGCAUCCCCACCUGGGGAGUACGCCGGCAACGGUGAAACUCAAAGGAAUUGACGGGGGCCCGCACAAGCGGAGGAACAUGUGGUUUAAUUCGAUGAUACGCGAGGAACCUUACCCGGGCUUGAAUUGCAGAGGAAGGAUUUGGAGACAAUGACGCCCUUCGGGGCCUCUGUGAAGGUGCUGCAUGGUUGUCGUCAGCUCGUGCCGUGAGGUGUCGGCUUAAGUGCCAUAACGAGCGCAACCCCUCUCCUUAGUUGCCAUCAGGUCAAGCUGGGCACUCUGGGGACACUGCCACCGUAAGGUGUGAGGAAGGUGGGGAUGACGUCAAAUCAGCACGGCCCUUACGUCCGGGGCUACACACGUGUUACAAUGG